CAAAAAAAUGACCUUGUAUGGCGGUCUUUAGAUGGCGGAUAUCCGCCAUCUACUCUUUUAGUCCGUCGAGGAAAGGUUUGGGCUAGACGGCGGUUUAAAUUUAUUUUCGAUGACGGAAAUCCGCCAUCUAAAAAGUCCCGUCCAAAAUUUCGAAAUCCACUCCAAAAGUAACCCGAUUACUCGAUUAAAUUGACUUAACAUGGUGGACAUCCGCCAUGUUAAGUAUUUGGGGAGUCAGGCGGAAAAAGCCUGCCCAAAUUUCGAUUGGGCGGACUUUCACUUAAGUUCCGACGGAACUUAAGUGUACUUACAUGGCGAAAAUCCGACAUGUGAGUUUUGGGGUUUAUUAAAAAUCCCAAAUCCAGACAAAACGCGUCUGUUCUAAUUUCUCAACAUUGCUGCCGCCUGGCGACUCCUGCCCCCCCGCCGUCGAGCUCCGUUUUCGCCAUGUGUCCGCCUCCGUCACCCGCUGACUUGCCGUUCCCAGCAGGUUCCGUCGCCGCCGCCGCUCCCCGGAUAGUCGCCGCAUCCUCGCCGGUCAUCUGUGAAGGUAUGUGAUGGGUUAUUUUCUAUUUUUUGAUUAUCUAUUAUUGCAUUUGAUUUUUAUCUAUCCAUCUCUUGUAAAUGUGUUUUGUUCUUGAUCUUAAUCUCACUACAAGAAAACAGACAUAUAGAGACGGAUUUAGUGACGGCUUAGAGACGGCUUAGAGACAUAUCCAUCCUGGCCGUUUCUAAAUCUGAAGAAGCAUUUCGUGGAAAUUUCACGAUGCUAGCGACGGCUUAGAGACGGCUUGCUCUCCGGUGAACCGUCGCUAAUUCUGAUUUUCCGUUAAUGAUUGACGACGGCUCUCCGGUGAACCGUCGCCACCCUUUAAAAUUAGAGACGGCUUUUUAGUUAGCCGUCUAUAAAUAUUUCGAAGUUUGUUUUGGAAAAUAUUUAGGGACAGUUUCAUAAAUAGCCGUCUCAAAACCUGAUCAUUAGGGAAAGUCUCAUUUAGAAG
RNAcentral lists this long non-coding RNA (1001 nucleotides) under Zostera marina. RNAcentral's name for it is "long non-coding RNA (ZMAR_LNC003053)". The record is from RNAcentral. Lineage: Eukaryota; Viridiplantae; Streptophyta; Magnoliopsida; Alismatales; Zosteraceae.